This is a long non-coding RNA of Carassius gibelio (silver crucian carp), 1042 nucleotides long. RefSeq lists it as uncharacterized. The record is from RefSeq and is a predicted model, not a curated record. The transcript has 4 exons. NCBI's taxonomy places the organism in Eukaryota, Metazoa, Chordata, Actinopteri, Cypriniformes, Cyprinidae.
AAAAGCGAUUCAGCUUCAUCCGUCCAGCCUGGGUUAUCAACUAACAUAGAUAGAAAUAAAAUAAAAAAUAGAUUAAAUUUUUUUUAAAUACUUAUAUAUACUUAUAUAAAAUCUAGUUAGCAAAACUACAAAAGUAUAUCAAGGAUACUAAAAUAACAUUGGGAUCCAGUCGAUGUGUUGUGUGAAGCAAAGGUGCUGACUUCUAAUUGGUUGUUUUCUUUGGAAGGCGGGGCUUACUCUUCCAGAGUUGCCAUAUUUGGGCGUUCCUCUUUCUCCCUUCCAUUAUAACAGCAGUGUUCUAUCUCAGCUAUAGAGUCUCUGUUUUCUCCUAAAGCACACUGAGUACUGAAUGUAGCAUCUGUCUGUCUGUCUGUCAUGUUGUAGACAGCUGCAGAGAUGAUGCUACUACAGUCUGCCAGAUUCAUUGACUGUAAGAGGAACAAUCCCACCGCCGAGACUGGACUCGUGCCAUGCUGUGUUGGGUGGCACCCAUGUGCCCUCGUCUGCUGACUCCUACACUUCCAUUCUCCUGCAUCGGCCUCCUGAAGAAGACGAGCGGAUGAAAGAUUCAUGAAGGAGGUGAAUGUUGGGGCGCAACGAAACGAGUCGCAGCUCCAAACACUCGCCUCUCUUUCACCUGUGGCCCACCAGACGGCAGAACCGGUGUGUGUGAGCACAGACAGAAUAGCCCGGCUCUUCCCGUCUGCAGCUGUCCUCUGUAAAGCUGAGGAUCCAGCAGGUGUGUGUAACUCCUCAACAGGUCAUUCAUUUUCAGAUUUACUGACCUGAGCUUCAUUACCUGCUUAUUCCCGGGGUUUUUUGAUUCCUAUUGUUUCUAUGAAAGCAAUUAGACUACAAUAGUAUGUGUAAUUAAAGCAUAAUCAUGUAAUGUGAGGCCACGGCUUCACUCAGAGACAAUUAAAACACACAACACACGAAGAAAUCGCUCGCUGUUUCAGUUCAGGUGUAGAAAAAAGCACCUGUAGUGUUCAUUAAUGCACACAUUUGUGGUUUUCUGAUUCAUAUCAUGUCAAACUGGGUC